This 305-nucleotide ribosomal RNA is filed under the name uncultured bacterium. RNAcentral describes it as "partial 16S ribosomal RNA". It matches the Rfam family "Bacterial small subunit ribosomal RNA", at positions 337 to 659 of the family's 1533-position model. The record is from RNAcentral.
GCCUACGGGGGGCAGCAGUGGGGGGUAUUGCACAAUGGGGGAAACCCUGAUGCAGCGACGCCGCGUGGGUGAAGAAGCGCCUCGGCGCGUAAAGCCCUGUCAGCAGGGAAGAAAAUGACGGUACCUGAAGAAGAAGCCCCGGCUAACUACGUGCCAGCAGCCGCGGUAAUACGUAGGGGGCAAGCGUUAUUCGGAUUUACUGGGUGUAAAGGGGGCGCAGACGGCGAUGCAAGCCAGGAGUGAAAGCCCGGGGCCCAACCCCGGGACUGCUCUUGGAACUGCGUGUCUAGAGUGCAGGAGGGGCG